This 460-nucleotide ribosomal RNA is filed under the name uncultured bacterium. RNAcentral's name for it is "partial 16S ribosomal RNA". It matches the Rfam family "Bacterial small subunit ribosomal RNA", at positions 338 to 795 of the family's 1533-position model. The record is from RNAcentral.
CCUACGGGAGGCAGCAGUGAGGAAUCUUGGUCAAUGGACGCAAGUCUGAACCAGCCAUGCCGCGUGCAGGAAGACGGCUCUAUGAGUUGUAAACUGCUUUUGUACGAGGGUAAACGCAGAUACGCGUAUCUGUCUGAAAGUACCGUACGAAUAAGGAUCGGCUAACUCCGUGCCAGCAGCCGCGGUAAUACGGAGGAUUCAAGCGUUAGCCGGAUUUAUUGGGUUUAAAGGGUGCGUAGGCGGUCGGAUAAGUUAGAGGUGAAAUCCCGAGGCUCAACUUCGGAAUUGCCUCUGAUACUGUUCGGCUUGAGAGUAGUUGCGGUAGGCGGAAUGUAUGGUGUAGCGGUGAAAUGCUUAGAGAUCAUACAGAACACCGAUUGCGAAGGCAGCUUACCAGGCUACUUCUGACGUUGAGGCACGAAAGCGUGGGGAGCAAACAGGAUUAGAUACCCCAGUAGUC